RNAcentral lists this long non-coding RNA (224 nucleotides) under Capsella rubella. RNAcentral describes it as "long non-coding RNA (CRUB_LNC002746)". Lineage: Eukaryota; Viridiplantae; Streptophyta; Magnoliopsida; Brassicales; Brassicaceae. The record is from RNAcentral.
UUUACUCAUUUUUUCAUAUUUUACUAGUAAAAUGACUUCAUAUUUAUUUUUAUUUAUUUGAGAGAUUCAAUCCUCUUUUUUUUUUUCUAAAUUAAAGGAGGGUUUCUCUUGUAGUGUCAAUAAUAAUGACAUAACCUAAUGCCUCGCUAAGGGGGGGCUUACUUGGCAACUAGAGAGGAAAUAUCAAAGAAACCUUCUUCAAUUCUUUCUUUCACUUUUUUUUC